Molecule: long non-coding RNA, 2752 nt
Filed under: Sus scrofa (pig)
Lineage: Eukaryota; Metazoa; Chordata; Mammalia; Artiodactyla; Suidae
Description: lncRNA (ENSSSCG00025023226.1)
Source: RNAcentral
AGAAACGGGUGUUGGAUUUUGUCAAAGGCUUUUUUCUGCAUCUGUUGAGAGGAUCACAUGGUUUUUAUUCUUCAUUUUGUUAAUGUGGUGUCUCACACUGAUUGAUUUGCGGAUAUUGAAGAUUUCUCGCAUCCCUGGGAUAAAUCCCACUUGAUCAUGAUGUACAAUCCUUUUAAUGCAUUGUUGGAUUAGAUUUGCUAGUAUUUUGUUGAGGAUGUUUGCAUCAUUGUUCAUCAGUGAAAUUGGCCUGUAGUUUUCUUUUUUUGUGGUAUCUUUAUCUGGUUUUGGUCUUAGGGUGAUGGUAGAAUGAGUUUGGGAGUGUCCCUUCCUCUGUAAUUUUUUGGAAUAUUUUCAGGAUAGGUGUUAGCUCUUCACUAAAUGUUUGAUAGAAUUUGACUGUGAAGCCAUGUGGUCCUGGACUUUUGUUUGUUGGAAGUUUCUUAAUCACAGUUUCAAUUUCAGUGCUUGUGUUGGCCUGUUCAUCUUUUCUAUUUCAUCUUGGUUUAGUCUUGGAAGAUUGUACUUUUCUAAGAAUUUGUACAUUUCUUCUAGGUUUUCCAUUUUAUUGCUAUAUAGUCACAUAUAGUAGGCUCUUAUGAUUAUUUGUAUUUCUGUGAUGUCCAUUGUUACUUCUUCUUUGUCAUUUCUAAUUUUAUUGAUUUGAGUCUUCUCUCUUUUUUUCUUGAUAAGUCUGGCUAAGGGUUUAUCAAUUUUGUUGAUCUUUUCAAGGAACCACCUUUUCAUUUCAAUGAUUUUUUCCUAUGGUUUUCUUUGUUUCUAUUUCAUUGAUUUCUGCUCUGAUCUUUAUGAUUUCUUUCUUUGUACUAACUUUAGGUCUUGUCUGUUCUCUCUUGAGCUGCUUUAGAUGUAAAGUUAGCUUGUUUAUUAGAGCUUUUUCUUGUUUCUUGAGGUGGGCUUGUAUUGCUAUAAACUUUCCUCUUAGAACUGCUUUUGCUGCAUCCCAUAGGUUUUGGAGUGUUUUAUCUUUGCUGUCAUUGGCUUCUAAGUAUUUUUUAAUUUCCUCUUUGAUUUCUUCUGUGAUCCAUAGGUUGUGUAGUAGCAUGUUGUUUAGUCUCCAUCUGUUUGUGUUUUUUGCAGUUUUUAUCUUGUUGAUUUGCAGUUGUAUAGUGUUGUGGUCGGAAAAGAUGCUUGAUAUGAUUUCAAUUUUCUUAAAGUUACCAAGGCUGGAUUUGUAGCCCAGGAUGUGAUCAGUCUUAGAGAAUGUGCUAUGUGCACUUGAGAAGAAUGCACAUUCUGUUGCUUUUGGAUGGAAUGUGCUAUAAAUAUCUAUUAAGUCCAUCUGGUUUAAUGCUUCAUUCAGGGCUUGUGUUUCUUUAUUGAUUUUCUGUCUGGAUGAUCUGUCCAUUGCUGUAAGUGGGGUGGUAAAGUCCCCCACUAUGAUUGUGUUAUUGUCUAUUUGUCCUUUUAAGGUUGUUAGCAGUUGCCUUAUAUACUGAUGUGAUCCUAUGUUGGGUUCAUAGAUAUUUAAAAUUGUUAUAUCUUCUUCUUGAAUUGAUCCUUUGAUCAUUAGGUAGUGACCUUCCUUGUCUCUUAAAAUACUCUUCAUUUUAAAGUCUAUUUUGUCUGAUAUGAGUAUUGCUACUCCAGUUUUCUUUUGAUUCCCAUUUGCAUGGAAUAUUUUCUUCCAUCCUCUUACUUUCAAUUUGUGUAUGUCCCUUGAAGUGAAGUGGGUCUCUUGAAGACAGCAUAUAUAUAUGGGUCUUGUUUUUGUAACCAUUCAGCCAGUCUAUGUCUUUUGGUUGGGGCAUUUAGUCUAUUAACACUUAAGGUAAUUAUUGAUAUGUAUGUUCUUAUUGCCAUUUUAUUAAUUGCCUUGGAUUUGUUUUUGUUGCUCCUUUUUCUUCUCUUCUUCUCUUGUUCUCUCCUCUUUUGGUUUUAUGACUAUCUUUAGUGUUGUAUUUGAGUUGAUUUGUCUUAUUUGUUUGUGUAUCAAUUGUAGAUUUUCGGUUUGCAGUUACUCUGACGUUUUGAUAUGAGUCUAUAUAUAUAUGAAAUUGUUUUAAGUUGUUGGUGUCUUAAUUGCAUGUGCAUCUCCAGUGUCCUGCAUUUGUACCCUCAUCUUCUCACGAUUUGUGAUUUUAGUGGCAUAAUUGUGCAUGAAUGAUUUCCUACCUUUACUGUAUAUAUGCCAUUACUGGUGAGCCGUGUCAUUUGUGGUAUUUUUGUUUCUGGUUGCAGCCUUUUCUUCUCUGCCUAGAGAAGUUCCUUUAGUGUUUGUUGUAAAGCUGGUUUAGUGUUGCUGAAUUCUCUUAGCUCUUGUUUAUCUGUGAAGGUUUUGAUUUCUCCUUCAAACCUGAAUGAGAGCCUUGCUGGGUAAAGCAAUCUUGGUUGGAGGCUUUCAUCACAUGAAGUAUAUCAUGCCACUCCCCUCUGGCCUGCUGAGUUUCUGCUGAAAAACCUGCCAAAAACCUUAUCAGGGUUCCCUUGUAUGUUAUUUGUUUCUUUUUGCUAGCUGCUUUCAAUAUUUUCUCUUUCUCUUUAAUUUUGGUCAUUUUGAUUUUUAUGUGUCUUGGGGUGUUCCUUCUUGGGUUUAUUAUAUAUGAUACUCAUGCUUCCUGGAUUUGAGUGAGUGGUUCCUUUCCCAUGUUAGGGAAGUUUUUGGCUAUUAUCUCUUGGAAUAUUUUUUCUGUCCCCUUCUCUCUCUCUCUUCUCCUUCUGGCACCUGUAUAAUAUGGAUGUUGGUGCAUUUAACGUUGUUCCAGAUUCUCUGAGACUCUCUUCAUUUGUUUUC